AAAUUCUGAUUUCCACAGUUGAAAUUCUCAAAACAAAAUUUGUAAAAAUAUCAAACUAACAUCAAUAUUUCACCUGAUUUGGCAACAUUGGCAGAUAGAAAUAAUGUAACUGGCAACCAACGGCUAUCUGUCAGUUACAUUUGCGGGAAGAUAAUGCAGGGACAAAAUUCUUCCUUUGAACCGGAAACACCAUUGAGGGGCCCAGCCAAGGGACCAGCCAGGGGACCAGCUUAUAUUCACGAUGCCUACAAUUAUAAUGCUGCGGAGUAUACGGUGGCUGCAUGAAACGGGCGAUGGUAGCGGCGACCACUUUCGUAAUGGUGAUAAAGACGUGCAGUUUCGAGCGAAAAAACACCGGACGUGACAUGACAUAAGAGUGAGAACGAUCGUACAAGAUAUGGACAAUUCAUCAAUCCGAAUACGGAGGUCAAAUGGGAGGCAAUAAAUUUGUGAAGGCCGUGCUACAAUGAAGAGUGCAGCGGCGAAUUUCGACAAUUAAUCCAUUUAUUUUCUAACGUACGAAAAGAACGGCGAAAUGCUGAGCCUCGAUCACGGUUGUCCAGUAACCUUGGGGAUUUUUUUGAAUUUUCAAUAAAUAAGUAAAUAAUUA
Molecule: long non-coding RNA, 610 nt
Organism: Armigeres subalbatus
Lineage: Eukaryota; Metazoa; Arthropoda; Insecta; Diptera; Culicidae
Exons: 2
Source: RefSeq, a predicted model, not a curated record